This 440-nucleotide ribosomal RNA is filed under the name uncultured bacterium. Its description in RNAcentral is "partial 16S ribosomal RNA". It matches the Rfam family "Bacterial small subunit ribosomal RNA", at positions 338 to 795 of the family's 1533-position model. The record is from RNAcentral.
CCUACGGGGCGCUGCAGUGGGGAAUAUUGGGCAAUGGGCGCAAGCCUGACCCAGCAACGCCGCGUGAAGGAAGAAGGCUUUCGGUAUGUAAAGCUCUAUCAGCAGGGAAGAAAAUGACGGUACCUGACUAAGAAGCCCCGGCUAACUACGUGCCAGCAGCCGCGGUAAUACGUAGGGGGCAAGCGUUAUCCGGAUUUACUGGGUGUAAAGGGAGCGUAGACGGUCCUGCAAGCCAGAUGUGAAAGCCCGGGGCUCAACCCCGGGACUGCAUUUGGAACUGUAAGGCUAGAGUGUCGGAGUGGCAGGCGGAAUUCCUAGUGUAGCGGUGAAAUGCGUAGAUAUUAGGAGGAACACCAGUGGCGAAGGCGGCCUGCUGGACGAUGACUGACGUUGAGGCUCGAAAGCGUGGGGAGCAAACAGGAUUAGAUACCCGAGUAGUC